Molecule: long non-coding RNA, 9474 nt
Filed under: Gossypium raimondii (Peruvian cotton)
Lineage: Eukaryota; Viridiplantae; Streptophyta; Magnoliopsida; Malvales; Malvaceae
Description: long non-coding RNA (GRAI_LNC010805)
Source: RNAcentral
GAAAAAAAUUAAAAACUCUUUAAAAUUUAAAGAAAAUAUAGAAUAUAAUUACUAGAAUCUUUUGUCCUUCGAUUUAUGUUUUUAAUUUGAAGCACUAAACAUGAACAAUUUCGCCUUUUCAUGUAUGAAAAGUAUUUAAAACCCAAACUUAAAAAAAACAUAAAGAAACUAAUGCAAUACCACAUGUACAAGCCCAAUUUAUGCCCAGGGCCCAAAACCAAAUCAAACCUAAACCCCAAAACCCCUAUCCAUUACAACCACAUUAACCCGAACCAGGCCCAAUACCCCAAAUUAGGCCCAAAACCCAAAGCCCAACAAAAUCGGCCCAACAAGCCCAAUACAAACCCUGGCAUUUCAGAAACCCUAGAAAAAAACCUUAGCCCCUAGCCUAGCGCCGCACGUCCCAUCGGCUACUUACCCUGCCACCGCCUCUAACCAGCGCCGCACCUGCCACUGCCCCUCGCACGCCUCCGUUACGUCACCACCAACUCUGCCAUCUGCUCCAAAUACCUACAAACAAAGCAAGCAAAACAGAAGCAAUACAAAUAGCAGAGAAACAUGAAAAAAAUAGAAAAAAUAUUGUAUCUAUUCGGCUAUAAAAGCAACAGACAUCAAUGUAUUCAGGGGGAUUUUUGAAAAAAAUACAAAAAAAAAGAGAAAAGAAAAUAAAAAAGAAACGUUGAAGGAGAUUUUACUUCUAUUUUGGUUUCAAAUCGGGCCGAUUCUACUGUUUUGUUUUUUUCAUUUAUUUUAUACGGAAAUAACAAGAAAAAGAAAGGAAAGGAGGAACUUACCGGGAUCGUUUCGCGUUUGUGUCGUCGGAGGCUUCUUUUUCGUCGACAGAAUUGAUUGUUGAAGGCCGGUGGUCCUCCCCCUUUUGUUCUCUUUUUGGUGUUUCGAGACCGGAUCCGUGUUUAAGUGGCCAGGAUCUAAAAAAAAGAGAACUUUUUGACCCUCCGCUGCCGUGCAUGGCGACGCCGGUGACCGGCGGCCGAUGCGGUGGCCCUCGGCCAGACCCAAGACCGGAGGGAGGGAGGUUUUCAGAGAGUAAACUCUCAUUUUUUUCUGAAAUAGAGAGAAGAAUGAUUUUUUUUUUAAAUCUAACUUAUAUAGGGCGACUAAACGGCAUCGUUUUGAAGCUUGCGCUUAGAGACCAAAACGGCGCCGUUUCACCCCUAACCUGAUCCAGACUACCCGACCCGACCCGCCUAGGAUCCGUGUGUUUUUAAGCGGAAGGGCUAAUUGCGCUUUCAGCCCUUCCACUGUUAAAACAUUUUAUAAUCAAGUCCCUUUGUUUGUUUUUAAAUUCAUCUGGUAAUUUAUUUUUCUUUACAAUCUAGUCCCACGAAGCUACGUCGUUUUAAAGGAGAAGGAUAAAUUAUCUUUUUGGUCCCUCAAUUUUUACGCGCGUCAUAUUGGGGUCCUAAUUUGUUCUUUUUUAGAUCUUUAAUUUUAUUUCUCUUUCGAUUUAGUCCCUUUUGCGUUUUAUUUUUAAUUUAGGCUCUCAAUUUUAUUUUAAACUUCAAUUUAGUACAGCUUUCAUUUAUAAUCAAAUUCUUAUUUUUUUUAUAUGUACCCAUUGUAUCUAUUUAUUUAUUUAUUUUGCCCUCACGUGCAUAUUUUUAAUUUUUACAAGUGUGUAUACACGUACUUUCAUGUUUCUUGUAUUUCAUAAUUUUUAUAUAUUUACAUAUAUAUGUACAUAUUUUAAUUUAUAUACAUACUUAUGUAUAUUCAUUAUAUUUUAAAAUAUUUUUUUUCUUAUUUUAUAAUUCACAUAUAUAUUUUUAUUUUUACAAUUUAUAUAUAUACAAAUGUAUAUAUAUCUACAUACAUAUUUUCUAUAUUUAUAUGCGUAUAUAUACAUAUGUCAACAUACAUUUUUUUAUUUUUUUAUUUUAUAUAUAUGUACAUAUAUACAUACUUUUAUAUACUUUUUAUAUUUCAUAAUUUUUAUAUACAUAUAUAUAUACAUGUUCUAAUUUAUACACAUAUAUGUAUAUACAUGCUUACAUGUAUUUUUACAUCUAAUAAUUUUAAAAUAGAUAUAUAUACAUACAUAAAUAUAUCUCUUACAUUCUCAUAAUUUUAUUUUAUUUAUUUAUUUAUUUAUAUUUUCAUUAUUAUUUUUGAAAGAAUGUUUUAUUUGCUUAUGUACUUGUUAUUUCGUACGAUAUUGAUUCGUCCUUUUAUUUUAUGUUGUUGCUAUCGCUCGUAUUAUUUUUACAUCAUCAUAUCCAAUAUUGCAUUGUUACACAUAUUAAUAUUGUGUUUAUUAAAUCAUAGCUUUAAAAUAAGCAAAAUUUCAUAUUCUGAGAUUCGAAAAGAUCGUGCCCUAACUUACUGGGUUUCGACUUUCUAGACGAAUUCAAACAUACGAAUCCUUUCAAACUUAAGUUUUUUAAACAAUCUCGAAAAUUAUUAAAAGAUCGUGUUCUAACUUACGGGACAUGAUUUCUUUUCUAAACCCGAGAUAAUCAAAUAUCUUUCAAAAUAAAUAAUUUAUUUUUUGGGGGGGCAUUUAUUCACGUAUCGAGAAUUCAAGACAUUGUAUCUUAACUUACGGGAUAUAAUUCUCUUUCUUGAUUAACGUAAAAUAUGCCCUUUUUCUCGAAAUUUUUAGCAUUUCAAUAAAGGAUCGUGUUUUGAGUCUUUUUCAAAUUUUCAAUCUUCGACACUAAGACAUUAAUUAAUCAAUUAGGUACCAAUUUUGGGUGUUACGAGGGUGCUAAUCCUUCCUCGUACGUAACCGACUCCCGAACCGGUUUUUUGAUUUUCGUGGACCAAAAUCGCUGUUUUGAUAAAACCGAAUUGUUUAUUAAAACAACCAUUUUUCGAGGUGGCCUGAUCACACCUCAUCAAAAAAGAUUGGUGGCGACUUCCAUUUUUGUUUUCAUUUUUCAAAACCCAAGUCGACCCAUUUUAUCAAAAAAAUGGUGUCAACUGCUUGGCGACUCCACUGGGGAGCAAUAUGAGAGUCAAGGCGCGAGUUGAUUACUUUUUGUCUUUUUGUCAAAAAUAAAAAACUUGGUUUAAAUAUACGAUCCUUUCGUUGCAUUUUCAUUCAUCUUUAUUACGACAUUCAUCAUUGUCAUUUAUAAUCGUUGUGUUAGUUUAAGUUUGGAUAUAUUUCUGCGCAUUGCAUUGCAUGACCACUCGGUCAUACCCUUCUAAGUGGGAGUGAGAAACUACGCCUUCGUGAGGUUUUCACCUCCGCAUGGGAUAGUGAAUUGCUUCUGGGAUACAUCCGUGCCUAUAUCUUCGUGAGAUUUUCAUCUCCGCAUGGCCAUAGGGAAAUGUAUUCCCCUGAACUGAACUCGGUCAAUAUGAGCCUAUAAUGGGUGAGGAUCGAGGAAUCUACUGGUUCGGGUACCUUUGCUUUAGAACCAAACAACAUGUAGAAGACCUUAGGAGCCCACCCUAGGUAGAGCCACUUCAAACCCUUAGUGGUUACCCGAAUAGGUACUCUAUUUUUCUUGUUUGCUUUUGCUUUGAACUAACCCGUUUCGUUUUGUUUUGGUUAUGAUUGCAUUGCAUUUUCAUCUUAGAAAAAAGGUGUUAAUUCAAAUUUGAUUACUAAAUUAGAAAGUUUGUCAUGGAAAAUGAAUUUCUUGAUAAUGUGGAAGAUAAUAUGGCUGCCCAAAUAUAUCUCAAGAAACACAACAAAAGAAGGGUGAUGAAAGAGUACAUGACUUUACUUCGUGGCCCGAAGAUUCAAGCUAAUUAUUUGAGGGUCAUCGAUGUUCUGACUUCCUUAAAGAAGCUGAUGAGCAUUACGAGGAUGGGUAGACGAUGGAUCACAACCAGGAUCAAGCAAGAAGGAGUUAGUAGUGGCAUUUCGCGAGAUUCAUUUUAACAUCCAGAUGAAGAAAAGGAUCGAUGUUGUUUCUUGCAGUGUGAAGGCAAGGUCGUACAUGCAUCCGUUUUAUGUAAAGAAAUUUAUUUUUAGUAAAGUUUUCUAAAUGGAAUUGAAUCAGAGUCAACGUAUUUUUUUUGCAUUCAGGCAUCUGCAUUACAUUUCAUUGCAUGCAUCAAAUUUCACUAAAAGACCCUAAUCAAACAAAAUCAUUUCAGAAUCAAUGGAAACCAACCUGCCAAACCAACGUCCUCACGGUACUCGAACAGAAGCUCAAGGAAUGGAUCAGAGAUUGGAACGAUUAGAGCAAAUGCAAAUACAGAUGCAAGAGCAAUUGACUAAAUUUCAACAGGAUAUGAAAGAUCAGAUACUAGAGGUCUAAAAAAAUCUGAUGAGUAACCUAGUUAUUAGAUAGAGGGUUAGAAAAAGGAAAAAACACAGCGAUCCAUUUUGGGGAUGAUGAAGACCCUGCUUAUUUUCCAAGCUUUACCCCAACAAACAUCCAGGCACAACCAAAUACAUAUCCACAAGGAGUAACUGUUAACGUCCGACCACAAUACCAGACCGGUACCUCGACACCGGUGAAUUUCUCAACAGGCUCAGGAUCCAAUUUGAGGAGCAAUCUAGUUAAGCAUGUUGCCUCUGAUGAUCCGAAACAAGUGAGGGUAGAAUACUAGAUACUGUAAAGGCCUCGAAAAAGAGGAAAAAUGAGUUGAAUGAUGCGGGCAAGUAUAACAAGGGCUACUCAAAACCAACCAUUGUGGACCAGUCAAAGACAAAAACCACUAGCCAUCAGGUCCCCCAAAGACAAGAAUCUGGGACAAAGCAAAACAUCGAGAAACCCUAAUUUACACUAAUCCCAAUGUCAUACCAGGAGCUGUAUCAGAGUUUAUUUGACGCACAUAUUUUUUCUCCUUUCUACUUGAAACCUUUACAACCUCCGUACCCCAAAUGGUACGACACGAAUACGAAAUGUGACUAUCAUGCGGGAAUUACGGGGCAUUCCAUAGAAAAUUGCACUGCCUUUAAAAAUUUGGUUAAAAGGCUUGCCAAUAUGGACAUUGUCAAAUUUGAUGAGUCAUCCAGUGCAGGCAAUCCGUCACCCAAUCACGUCGAUAAUGGGGUAAAUGCGAUGUAUGAAAAAGGAGGGAAACGUUCACAUCAAUGCCAUACAUGACGACAUAAUUGAAAAAGGACCUUAUUAGAUAUCUACCCUUACAUACUUAGGGGUGCUUUGAAAAAUGGGACUGUGGAAGAGAUCCCUAUAUUUUUAAGACCUAACUCAGAGUAAUGUUUAAAACACGCUUAUUGCUCUAAGCCUAGGAGCAGUAAGAAUCUUUUUGUGAGAUAGACUUAUGUUCAAUAUCUUUAUUUCAAUAAAAUGCAUCUUUGUUUCUCACUUUGAACAAAUAUUCUUUUAUUAUUUCCAUUUCAUUCAUAAUCUUACUAUACAGAUAAAUAUUCUUAGAUUAUUUUAUUCUUUGGAUCUACUUUCGUCCCUAUGACAGGUCUCUAAAUAUCAAUGAUAUGAGCGACACUGCUAUUAACUCAGAACCUCCUUUUGAGCAGGAUAUGUAUCUAAAUUAAACCUUAGGACUUUGGAGAUAACUAAGAUUGUAGCUUAUCUCCUGAUUUGUUAAGGACGGGAGAACAAGAUCCUACCUUAUUACAAAGAAUCAAUGGAGGCCAUGACCUUUCUCUAUGUGGGGCACAUAUGUCAUAGGGCCGAUCUCGCCUAAGAUUUUUGGCAGUUAUCUUUAUGGUUAUCGAUUACCUCACUAAGUGGGCAGAAGCUGCUUCAUAUGCCAAUGUUGCAAAGCCGACAGUCUGUAAAUUCUUGAAAAAUUAUAUGUCACUAUGGAAUGCCAAAAAAGAGCAUAUCUGACAACGCACUAAAAUUAAACAAUGGCACGAUAUCAGAAGUUUGCAGUCUGUUCAAGGUUAACACAUUUCGCCUCAAAAUAAACGGUGUAGUGGGAGCAAAAAUAAAACAAAAAAAGAGGAAAAACUGCUACCGGGGCAAUGCAUUGGCUUAUCACAGUCUUGCUCAUUGAGGUCAAGAUUCCUUCUCUUCGAGUGUUGAAUCAGAUCCCAAUUGAAGAGAAAUGUUCAACGUUAUCCAUCUUGGUCAAAUGCACCAAAAACAAAAGACGCGAGCUCACCAAAGAAGGUUCACCCUAGAGAGUUCUAUGAGGGGGACCUAGCAUCGAAGAAGAUCCUCCCCAUACAAAAAGAGCUUUAGAAGAAAGAGGAUAUCAAACUUAAAAUGACCUUAUAUGGAAGGCUUUAUCUAGAGAAGCGUAAUUUUGACCAUAAAGGAUAGCAAGGACUUACCUGAUCCUACAAGUUCGAAUUCAAUCAAAGAAUGUUCAAAAAAAAGAAAGAAAAAAGAAAGAAAAAAGAAAAAAAAGAAAAGAAGAAAAAGAAAAAGGAGAGGCCAAGGUGAAAAUACACAAAGGGCGCCUUGAGACCAAAGGGGUUUUGAAUUGAAAACCCAGGAAUGGGCGGUUCAAAUUUUGAUCAAAGGUAGGGCAUGUGGUAGCCUUGUCCUCUUUGAAUUAUCAAGAAGGUGAGACACUGCAUCUCGGGGCAUCAACAAAGUCUUCUAAGACCUCUAAAUGCAUAUCAAGUUUAAAAAGGUCUUCAAGAAGCUCAUACAGAGAAGCUCAUGCUGCGAUAUCUGGGGCACCUGUUUUCAUCUUAUUCAUUUCGUAUCUUAGCAAAAUUUACUAUCUUGAUUAAUUUAUUCAUUUCGAGCUGUGCUCUCAAUAAGAUUUCAUCUUAUCCAUUGUGGUAAUCUUUUUCAUCUUCUCUUAGCAAAAUUUCCUAUCUUGACUAAUUUAUUCAUUUCGAGCUUUGUUUCAAUGAAAUUUCAUCUUGUCCAUUGUGAUAAUCUUUUUCAAGCAUUUUUCAUUGAAAUAACGAUUAAUGGACUGAAUAUUCAAGCAAAAGGAGUUUUACAUAUUACUCUGAAAGCUUCUAAAUAGUACAAGGACCUGAAACAGGACUAUUGUUUAGAACUAACCAAACCGAGGGGUUAGAAACAUUUGAGAAAGAAUAGUCUAAAUUGCGACUAUUUCGUUGGUUUUUUUUGUUGAAGAUACUAGCUGAACAAGUAGGCAUCUGUGAUAGAACCUUAAUGAAUAACGAGCAAUGACAACCCUAACAUUAAAAAAAGGGAUCAUUCUCAUGACAUUCUGCAUUCAUGCAAAUAUAAUUCAUACACAUCUAGUUAGGAGCAUUUGUUUCAUCUUGGUCACGUCAUCCUAAACACUAGACAUAAAUAGGUCCAUAAAAUGGAUUCUGCAAGUCAUGUUCCCUAGAGAACAGAUCAGCGUAGUCACAAACAUUGUCUCUCUGAAGUUGCAGUAGAGCAAUUUGAAGUCACUAACCUUAUCCCCCUGAAGUUGCAGUGGGACAAGUUGAGAUAUAAAUCCGGUCUCCCUGAAGUUGCAAUGGAGCGGGUCAAAAUGAUGGAUCUUAUCUUUCUAAAGUUGCAGUAGAACAGAUCGCAUCAGACUUUAUUGGAGCCACAAGUUUUAUCUCGCUGAGGAUGCAGUAGAGUAGACUGAAGAUAUCAAGUCUUAUUUCCCUGAAGUUGCAGUGGAACAGAUUGAAGCUAUAAACUACAAAUCCUAUCUAUCUGAAGUUGCAGUAGAGCAGAUCAAAUCAAGUCUUAUCCCCCUAAAGUUGCAGUGGGGCAAGUUGAAAUUACAAGUUAGAUCUCUCUGAAAUUGCAGUAGAGUAGGUUGAAAAAACAAACAUUGUCUCUCUGAAGUUGCAGUAGAGCAAGUUGAAGUCACUAUCCUUAUCCCCCUAAAGUUCCAGUGGGGCAAGUUGAAGAUAUAAGUCCUAUCUCCCUGAAGUUGCAGUGGAGCGGGUCAAAAUGAUGGAUUUUAUCUCUCUAAAGUUGCAGUAGAACGGAUCACAUUAGACUUUAUUGGAAAUUACGAGUCUUAUUUCCCUGAAGUUACAGUGGAGCAAGCUGAAGAUAGCGAAUCUUAUUUCCCUGAAGUUGCAGUGGAACAAAUUAAGGCUAUAAAUUACAGAUCUUAUCUCUCUGAAGUUGCAGUGGAGCAGAUUAAAGUUACUAGUCCUAUCUUCCUGAAUUUGCAGUGAAGCGGAUUAAAAGGAUGGAUCUUAUCUCUCCGAAGUUGCAGUAGAGCAGAUCGCAUCAGACUUUAUUGAAGCUACAAGUCUUAUCUCACUGAGGUUGCAGUAGAAUAGACUGAAGAUAGCAGAUCUUAUCUCUCUGAAGUUGCAGUAGAGCAAAUCACAAUGAGUCUUAUCUCCCUGAAGUUGUAGUGGAGCGGACCAAAAUAAUGAAUCCUAUACCUCUGAAGUGUCAGUAGGUUGGAUUAAAUUUACCAUAACAAGUCUUAUCUCCCUCAAGUUGUAGUGGAGUAGACUGUAGAUAGUGGAUCUUAUCAAAUCAAACCUUAUCUCCCUACAGUCGCAGUGGAGCAGGUUAAAGCAAUAAGUCUUAUCUCCCUAAAAUUGCCGUGGAGCAGGUUGAAGAUAUAAGUCUUAUUUCCCUAAAGUUGUAGUUGAGCAGACUGAAGCUACUAAUCCUAUCUCCCUGAAGUUGUAGUGGAGCGGAUUAAAGCGAUGAAUCCCAUACCUUUGAAGUUGUAGAAGAUCGGAUUAAAUCUUAUCAUACUAAGUCUUAUCUCCCUGAAAUUGUAGUGGAUCAGACCGAAGAUAGCAAGUCUUAUCUCCCUGACGUUGCAGUGAAGCAGACUAAAACCAAAACCUCGUCCCCUUAAAGUUACAGCAGAGUGGAUUGAAGCUACAAGUCGUAUCUGAAGUUGCAGAAGAGUGGAUCGAAGCAACAAGACACAAUGGACAGGAUUGAAGCUACUUCAAGAAGAGAAGCGCCAGAACAAGUCAAGAAUCAGCGAGACCGGGCAGAAUUGGUCUUUCUUAGUCUUUGCUCUGUUCUCAUUACAUGACAAUGAGCAAAGAGGGGCAGCUGUACAAGCCCAAUUUAUGCCCGGGGCCCAAAACCAAACCAAAUCUAAACCCCAAAACCCUUAACCAUUACAACUACAUUAACUCGAACCAGGCCUAACACCCUAAAUUAGGCCCAAAACCCGAAGCCUAACAAAAUCGGCCCAACAAGCCCAAUACAAACCCUGACAUUUCAAAAACCCUAAAAAAACCCGUAGCCCCUAGCCUAGUGCCGCACAUCCCAUCGGCCACUUACCCUGCCACUGCCUCUGACCAGUGCCACACCUGCCACCGCCCCUCGCAAGCCUCCGUCACGUCACCACCAACUCUGCCAUCUGCUCCAAAUACCUGCAAACAAAGCAAGCAAAACAGAAGCAAUACAAAUAGCAGAGAAACAUGAAAAAAAUAGAAAAAAUAUUGUAUCUAUUCAGCUAUAAAAGCCACAGACAUCAAUGUAUUCAGGGGGAUUUUUGAAAAAAAUACAAAAAAAACAGAGAAAAGAAAAUAAAAAAGAAAUGUUGAAGGUGAUUUUACUUCUAUUCUAGUUUCAAAUUGGGCCGAUUCUACUGUUAUUAAUUUUUUAUUUUUCAUUUAUUUUAUACUGAAACAAGAAAAAGAAAGGAAAGGAGGAACUUACUGGGAUCGUUUCGCGUUUGUGUCGUCGGAGG